Molecule: ribosomal RNA, 250 nt
Filed under: uncultured bacterium
Lineage: Bacteria
Also listed under: 1 other name
Description: partial 16S ribosomal RNA
Rfam family: Bacterial small subunit ribosomal RNA
Source: RNAcentral
UACGUAGGGUGCGAGCGUUGUCCGGAAUUAUUGGGCGUAAAGAGCUCGUAGGCGGUUUGUUGCGUCGGCCGUGAAAACUCAGGGCUUAACUCUGAGCCUGCGGUCGAUACGGGCAGACUUGAGUUCGGUAGGGGAGACUGGAAUUCCUGGUGUAGCGGUGAAAUGCGCAGAUAUCAGGAGGAACACCGGUGGCGAAGGCGGGUCUCUGGGCCGAUACUGACGCUGAGGAGCGAAAGCGUGGGGAGCGAAC